RNAcentral lists this ribosomal RNA (31 nucleotides) under Inocybe griseolilacina. Its description in RNAcentral is "partial 18S ribosomal RNA". Lineage: Eukaryota; Fungi; Basidiomycota; Agaricomycetes; Agaricales; Inocybaceae. The record is from RNAcentral.
GGCUUCCGUGGUGACCUGCGGAGGAUCAAUA